GUGAUGAAGAACCCCCAUUGUCAUCGUUGUCGUCAUCAUCAUUGUCAACGUUGGAAGAGCCCCGUCAUCGUCAUCGUCACCGGUGGAAGAGCUCCGUCGUCAUCGUCGUGAUCGUUAAAGUCAACGUGAUGAAGAGCCCGCCAUUAUUGUCACCGCCGGAAGAGCCCCGUCGUCAUCGUCACCGUGAUGAAGAGCCCCCAUUGUCAUCAUUGUCGUCAUCAUCAUCGUCAACGUUGGAAGAGCCUUCGUCAUCGUCAUCGUCAUCGUUAUUGUCACAAUUGGAAGAGCCAUCGCCAUCAUCGUCACCUCGAUGAAGAGCCCCAUCUUCAUCUUCAUCUUCUUCAUCUUCAUCUUCAUCAUCAACAUUACGAAGAGCCCCCGUUGUCAUCGGCACCCUUGGGAGAGCCAUCAUCAUCAUCAUCGUCAUCAUCAUUGUCAUCGUCAUCAUCAUCAUCGUCACAGUUGGAAGAGCCAUCUUCAUCAUCAUCAUCAUCAUGGUUGGAAGAGCCGUCUUCAUCAUCAUCAUCAUCAUCCGUCACCACUGUGAAGAGCCCCCAUGGUCCUCGCGCUCUUCAUCCUCACCGCCACCAUCCUCAUCCUCCUCAUCAUCACCGUUGCCUUCCUCUUCCUCCUCCUCCUCCUCACCUUCCUCCUCCUCCUCCCUUUUGUCACCACCGUUGUCAUCUUCCUCCUCCUCUUCUUCCUCCUCUUCCUCACCGUUUUCCUCAUCUUCCUCUUCGUCGUCACCACCACCACCGUCCUCCUCCUCCUCACCUUCAUCUUCGUCACCAUCAUCACCUUCCUCCCCCUCCUCACCUUCAUCUUCAUCACCAUCAUCACC
RNAcentral lists this long non-coding RNA (841 nucleotides) under Anser cygnoides (Swan goose). RNAcentral's name for it is "lncRNA (ENSACDG00005008642.1)". Lineage: Eukaryota; Metazoa; Chordata; Aves; Anseriformes; Anatidae. The record is from RNAcentral.